This 441-nucleotide ribosomal RNA is filed under the name uncultured bacterium. RNAcentral describes it as "bacterial SSU rRNA". It matches the Rfam family "Bacterial small subunit ribosomal RNA", at positions 958 to 1398 of the family's 1533-position model. The record is from RNAcentral.
AACGCGAAGAACCUUACCUACCCUUGACAUGUCAAGAAUCUAGCAGAGAUGUUGGAGUGCCUUCGGGAACUUGAACACAGGUGCUACAUGGCUGUCGUCAGCUCGUGUCGUGAGAUGUUGGGUUAAGUCCCGCAACGAGCGCAACCCUUGUUUGCUGUUGCCAUCAGGUUAUGCUGGGCACUCUGCAAAGACUGCCGGUGAUAAACCGGAGGAAGGUGGGGAUGACGUCAAGUCAGCAUGGCCUUUAUGUCUGGGGCUACACACGUGCUACAAUGGCCGGUACAAACCGUCGCGAGCCCGCGAGGUGGAGCUAAUCGGAGAAAGCCGGUCUCAGUUCGGAUAGCAGGCUGCAACUCGCCUGCUUGAAGUUGGAAUCGCUAGUAAUCGCGGAUCAGCACGCCGCGGUGAAUACGUUCCCGGGCCUUGUACACACCGAGUAUA